UCCCUGGAGGACUAGUGGUUAGGCCACAGUACUCUCACUAGUGUGGCCUGCGUUCCAUUCCUGGCCAGUGUG
Molecule: transfer RNA, 72 nt
Filed under: Pangasius djambal
Lineage: Eukaryota; Metazoa; Chordata; Actinopteri; Siluriformes; Pangasiidae
Description: tRNA-Glu
Source: RNAcentral